This 334-nucleotide ribosomal RNA is filed under the name uncultured eukaryote. RNAcentral describes it as "partial 18S ribosomal RNA". It matches the Rfam family "Eukaryotic small subunit ribosomal RNA", at positions 1470 to 1796 of the family's 1831-position model. The record is from RNAcentral.
CCCUUAGAUGUCCGGGGCCGCACGCGCGCUACACUGAAGGAAUCAGCGUGGCUUUCUCCCUGACCCGAAAGGGUGGGGAAACCCGUUGAAUCUCCUUCGUGAUAGGGAUUGGGGCUUGAAAUUGUUCCCCAUGAACGAGGAAUUCCCAGUAAGCGCGAGUCAUAAGCUCGCGUUGAUUACGUCCCUGCCCUUUGUACACACCGCCCGUCGCUACUACCGAUUGAACGGUUUAGUGAGGGCCUCGGAUUGGUCUCGGCCCGCUCUUUACCGGGCGGCGCCGUUGGUCGAGAAGACGCUCGAACUUGAUCGUUUAGAGGAAGUAAAAGUCGUAACA